RNAcentral lists this ribosomal RNA (845 nucleotides) under Harringtonia lauricola. RNAcentral describes it as "LSU rRNA". It matches the Rfam family "Eukaryotic large subunit ribosomal RNA", at positions 68 to 938 of the family's 3401-position model. The record is from RNAcentral. Lineage: Eukaryota; Fungi; Ascomycota; Sordariomycetes; Ophiostomatales; Ophiostomataceae.
ACAGGGAUUGCCCCAGUAACGGCGAGUGAAGCGGCAACAGCUCAAAUUUGAAAUCUGGCCCCCCGCGGGCCCGAGUUGUACUUUGGAGAGGACGCUUCUGGCGCGGCGCCGUCCGAGUUCCCUGGAACGGGACGCCGGAGAGGGUGAGAGCCCCGUACGGGCGGCCGCCUAGCCUCUGCGAAGCUCCUUCGACGAGUCGAGUAGUUUGGGAAUGCUGCUCAAAAUGGGAGGUAAAUUUCUUCUAAAGCUAAAUACCGGCCAGAGACCGAUAGCGCACAAGUAGAGUGAUCGAAAGAUGAAAAGCACUUUGAAAAGAGGGUCAAACAGUACGUGAAAUUGUUGAAAGGGAAGCGCCUGUGGCCAGACUUGCGCCCCGCGGACCACCCGGCGCCUCGCGCGCCGGGGCACGCCAGCGGGGCGCAGGCCAGCAUCGGCUCUCUCGGGGGGACAAAGGCCGCGGGAACGUAGCGCCCUCGCGGCGUAUUAUAGCCCGCGGCGCCAUGCCCCCGGGGGGGCCGAGGACCGCGCUCCGGCAAGGAUGCUGGCGUAAUGGCCACCGGCGACCCGUCUUGAAACACGGACCAAGGAGUCAAGCAUUGGGGCGAGUGUCUGGGUGGCAAGCCCGCACGCGGAAUGAAAGUGAACGCAGGUGGGAGCUUCGGCGCACCACCGACCGAUCCUGAUGUCCUCGGAUGGAUUUGAGUAGGAGCCCCGCCGCUUGGACCCGAAAGAUGGUGAACUAUGCCUGUAUAGGGUGAAGCCAGAGGAAACUCUGUGGAGGCCCGCAGCGGUUCUGACGUGCAAAUCGAUCGUCAAAUAUGGGCAUGGGGCGAAAGACUAAUCGA